UGCGUAGGCGGACUCGUCAGUGUCUUGUGAAAGCCCACGGCUCAACCGUGGAACUGCAUGGCAUACUGCGAGUCUUGAGGCUGGUAGGGGUCGCUGGAACUGUAGGUGUAGCGGUGAAAUGCGUAGAUAUCUACAGGAACGCCGAUGGUGAAGACGAGCGACUGGGCCAGUUCUGACGCUGAGGCACGAAAGCGUGGGGAGCAAACAGGAUUAGAUACCCUGGUAGUCC
Molecule: ribosomal RNA, 229 nt
Filed under: uncultured bacterium
Lineage: Bacteria
Description: partial 16S ribosomal RNA
Rfam family: Bacterial small subunit ribosomal RNA
Source: RNAcentral